RNAcentral lists this ribosomal RNA (459 nucleotides) under uncultured bacterium. RNAcentral's name for it is "partial 16S ribosomal RNA". It matches the Rfam family "Bacterial small subunit ribosomal RNA", at positions 338 to 795 of the family's 1533-position model. The record is from RNAcentral.
CCUACGGGUGGCAGCAGUGAGGAAUAUUGGUCAAUGGGCGGGAGCCUGAACCAGCCAAGUCGCGUGAGGGACGACGGUCCUAUGGAUUGUAAACCUCUUUAGGCGGGGCGCAAUGCCGGGCACGCGUGCCCGGAGGCAGCGUACCCGCAGAAUCAGCAUCGGCUAACUCCGUGCCAGCAGCCGCGGUAAUACGGAGGAUGCGAUCGUUAUCCGGAUUUAUUGGGUUCAGGGGUGCGUAGGCGCAUUUUUCAGUCAGCGCGAAAAUGUCCGGACUAAACCCGGUCGGGCAGUUGAAACUGGGGAUCUUGAGUGGGCGAGAAGUAUGCGGAAUGCGUGGUGGAGCGGUGAAAUGCAUAGAUAUCACGCAGAACUCCGAUUGCGAAGGCAGCAUACCGGCGCCCGACUGACGCUGAGGCACGAAAGCGUGGGGAUCGAACAGGAUUAGAUACCCGAGUAGUC